CAGCUACUACCACCACUACUAGUAGUAGUAGUUUGAGAAUUGAAAGCAGCAGCAUUGACCCUAAAAGAAGCACGACGACGAGGAUGAGGAGGAGGAGGACCACAGAUGAUGAGGUUCUCCUGCUCG
RNAcentral lists this non-coding RNA (126 nucleotides) under Bigelowiella natans. The record is from RNAcentral. Lineage: Eukaryota; Cercozoa; Chlorarachniophyceae.